GGGGGUCUUACCAUGCAAGUCGAACGAUGAACCACCUUAGGGGGGGAUUAGUGGCGAACGGGUGAGUAACACGUGGGCAAUCUGCCCUGCACUCCGGGACAAGCCCUGGAAACGGGGUCUAAUACCGGAUACCCGCCGCCGCCCGCAUGGGCGGCGGCGGAAAGCUCCGGCGGUGCAGGAUGAGCCCGCGGCCUAUCAGCUGGUUGGUGAGGUAACGGCUCACCAAGGCGACGACGGGUAGCCGGCCUGAGAGGGCGACCGGCCACACUGGGACUGAGACACGGCCCAGACUCCUACGGGAGGCAGCAGUGGGGAAUAUUGCACAAUGGGCGCAAGCCUGAUGCAGCGACGCCGCGUGAGGGACGACGGCCUUCGGGUUGUAAACCUCUUUCAGCAGGGAAGAAGCGCAAGUGACGGUACCUGCAGAAGAAGCGCCGGCUAACUACGUGCCAGCAGCCGCGGUAAUACGUAGGGCGCGAGCGUUGUCCGGAAUUAUUGGGCGUAAAGAGCUCGUAGGCGGCCUGUCGCGUCGGUUGUGAAAGCCCGGGGCUCAACCCCGGGUCUGCAGUCGAUACGGGCAGGCUAGAGUUCGGUAGGGGAGAUCGGAAUUCCUGGUGUAGCGGUGAAAUGCGCAGAUAUCAGGAGGAACACCGGUGGCGAAGGCGGAUCUCUGGGCCGAUACUGACGCUGAGGAGCGAAAGCGUGGGGAGCGAACAGGAUUAGAUACCCUGGUAGUCCACGCCGUAAACGGUGGGCACUAGGUGUGGGCGACAUUCC
Molecule: ribosomal RNA, 777 nt
Filed under: Streptomyces viridosporus
Lineage: Bacteria; Bacillati; Actinomycetota; Actinomycetes; Kitasatosporales; Streptomycetaceae
Description: bacterial SSU rRNA
Rfam family: Bacterial small subunit ribosomal RNA
Source: RNAcentral